GCCUGGGUGGCUCAGUAGGUUCAGCAUCUGACUGCAGCUCAGGUCAUAAUCUCGUGGUUUGUGGGUUCGAGCCCCACAUGGGGCU
RNAcentral lists this transfer RNA (85 nucleotides) under Felis catus (domestic cat). It matches the Rfam family "tRNA". From Rfam's summary of the family: Transfer RNA (tRNA) molecules are approximately 80 nucleotides in length. Their secondary structure includes four short double-helical elements and three loops (D, anti-codon, and T loops). Lineage: Eukaryota; Metazoa; Chordata; Mammalia; Carnivora; Felidae. The record is from Rfam by way of RNAcentral.